RNAcentral lists this long non-coding RNA (313 nucleotides) under Elaeis guineensis (African oil palm). RNAcentral's name for it is "long non-coding RNA (EGUI_LNC014521)". The record is from RNAcentral. Lineage: Eukaryota; Viridiplantae; Streptophyta; Magnoliopsida; Arecales; Arecaceae.
CCUUAGAAAAUAAAUCAGAAAUCCUAUGUUUUAAUACCAAAAAUUAAUGAAAUUUUUAUGGCACAUAGAGAAGGAAGAGUCCUUCUGCCCAAGUAUCUAAAUCACUAAAAAUUUACUUGAUGAAUUUAUUUGGUGCGUGAGAAAUUGGAGUGCCAAAAGUUGGUACCCCUUAUCCUAUGUAACGUCCCCUGGUCCCCUAUUUAUAGGGGAUGCCCCAAAUAGCUUUUAGCUGAGAUUUUUAGGUGAGAUAGAGAGAAGGGAAGUGAAAAUAAUAAAAAAAUUGAAAAAAAUUUAAAAAAAAAGAAGAGAAUUU